RNAcentral lists this ribosomal RNA (458 nucleotides) under uncultured bacterium. Its description in RNAcentral is "partial 16S ribosomal RNA". It matches the Rfam family "Bacterial small subunit ribosomal RNA", at positions 338 to 795 of the family's 1533-position model. The record is from RNAcentral.
CCUACGGGUGGCAGCAGUGGGGAAUAUUGCACAAUGGGGGAAACCCUGAUGCAGCGACGCCGCGUGAGUGAAGAAGUAAUUCGUUACGUAAAGCUCUAUCAGCAGGGAAGAAAUACUGACCUUACGGUCAGCAGACGGUACCUGAGUAAGAAGCCCCUGCUAACUACGUGCCAGCAGCCACGGUAAUACGUAGGGGGCAAGCGUUAUCCGGAUUUACUGGGUGUAAAGGGAGCGUAGACGGUGCGACAAGGCUGGAGGGAAAUGCCGCAGCUUAACUGCGGAACUGCUUUGGAAACUGGCGAGCUAGAGUGCGGGAGGGGUAAGCGGAAUUCCUAGUGUAGCGGUGAAAUGCGGAGAUAUUAGGAGGAACACCGGUGGCGAAGGCGGCUUACUGGACCGUAACUGACGUUGAGGCUCGAAAGCGUGGGGAGCAAACAGGAUUAGAUACCCUUGUAGUC